This 484-nucleotide ribosomal RNA is filed under the name uncultured bacterium. Its description in RNAcentral is "partial 16S ribosomal RNA". It matches the Rfam family "Bacterial small subunit ribosomal RNA", at positions 30 to 507 of the family's 1533-position model. The record is from RNAcentral.
AUUGAACGCUGGCGGCAGGCCUAACACAUGCAAGUCGAGCGGAUGAAGGGAGCUUGCUCCUGGAUUCAGCGGCGGACGGGUGAGUAAUGCCUAGGAAUCUGCCUGGGAGUGGGGGAUAACGUCCGGAAACGGGCGCUAAUACCGCAUACGUCCUGAGGGAGAAAGUGGGGGAUCUUCGGACCUCACGCUAUCAGAUGAGCCUAGGUCGGAUUAGCUAGUUGGUGGGGUAAAGGCCUACCAAGGCGACGAUCCGUAACUGGUCUGAGAGGAUGAACAGUCACACUGGAACUGAGACACGGUCCAGACUCCUACGGGAGGCAGAAGUGGGGAAUAUUGGACGAUGGGCGAAAGCCUGAUCCAGCCAUGCCGCGUGUGUGAAGAAGGUCUUCGGAUUGUAUAGCACUUUAAGUUGGGAGGAAGGGCAGUAAGUUAAUACCUUGCUGUUUUGACGUUACCAACAGAAUAAGCACCGGCUAACUUCGUG